This 450-nucleotide ribosomal RNA is filed under the name uncultured eukaryote. RNAcentral's name for it is "bacterial SSU rRNA". It matches the Rfam family "Eukaryotic small subunit ribosomal RNA", at positions 116 to 546 of the family's 1831-position model. The record is from RNAcentral.
UCUACUCGGCGUUCCGCGCCGCCGGAUAACCGUAGUAAUUCUAGGGCUAAUACGUGCGAAGCGCCCGAAGCCGCGAGGCGACGGGCGUUCUCGCCGGAUGUAGGAACCGACCCGGGGACCGCCGGGGCAACCCGGCGCCCCCGAGACGGGGCGAACCACGGUGAAAUGACGGAUCGUCGGCCCCGCGCCGGCGACUCGCCGAAUGAGUUUCUGACCUAUCAACUCGAGACGGCGGGGUAGAGGCCCGCCGCGGUAACGACGGGUAACGGGGAAUCAGGGUUCGAUUCCGGAGAGGGAGCCCGAGAAACGGCUACCACUUCCAAGGAAGGCAGCAGGCGCGCAACUUACCCUAAUCUCGAUUCGAGGAGGUAGUGACAAGAAAUACCGAUGCGGGACCCUACGGGUGCCGCGUUCGGAAUGAGUACGAUUCGAACCACCUAACGAGGAACG